Molecule: ribosomal RNA, 253 nt
Filed under: uncultured bacterium
Lineage: Bacteria
Description: partial 16S ribosomal RNA
Rfam family: Bacterial small subunit ribosomal RNA
Source: RNAcentral
UACGUAGGGUGCAAGCGUUGUCCGGAAUUAUUGGGCGUAAAGAGCUCGUAGGCGGUUCGUCGCGUCGGCUGUGAAAACCCGGAGCUCAACUCCGGGCCUGCAGUCGAUACGGGCGGACUUGAGUGUUGCAGGGGAGACUGGAAUUCCUGGUGUAGCGGUGAAAUGCGCAGAUAUCAGGAGGAACACCGGUGGCGAAGGCGGGUCGCUGGGCAACUACUGACGCUGAGGAGCGAAAGCGUGGGGAGCGAACAGG